CUUCAAAUCGAGUGGCGCACGGGUGAGUAACACGUAUCCAACCUGCCCUUUACUCGGGGAUAGCCUUUCGAAAGAAAGAUUAAUACCCGAUAGCAUAAUGAUUCCGCAUGGUUUCAUUAUUAAAGGAUUCCGGUAAAGGAUGGGGAUGCGUUCCAUUAGGUUGUUGGUGAGGUAACGGCUCACCAAGCCUUCGAUGGAUAGGGGUUCUGAGAGGAAGGUCCCCCACAUUGGAACUGAGACACGGUCCAA
RNAcentral lists this ribosomal RNA (249 nucleotides) under uncultured bacterium. RNAcentral's name for it is "partial 16S ribosomal RNA". It matches the Rfam family "Bacterial small subunit ribosomal RNA", at positions 84 to 334 of the family's 1533-position model. The record is from RNAcentral.